AAAGUAGUGCGAGUGCGGAAAAUAAAUAAAAGUAGUGCGAGUGCGGAAAAUAAAUAAAGCAAAGCGAGUUCGGGAAAAUAAAUAAAGUAAAGACAAUGCGGGAAAUAAAUAAAGUAAAGCGAGUGCGGGAAAUAAAUAAAGUAAAGACAGUGCGGGAAAUAAAUAAAGUAAAGCGAGUGCGGGAAAUAAAUAAAGUAAAGCGAGUGCGGGAAAUAAAUAAAGUAAAGACAGUGCGGGAAAU
Molecule: long non-coding RNA, 241 nt
Filed under: Lathyrus oleraceus (garden pea)
Lineage: Eukaryota; Viridiplantae; Streptophyta; Magnoliopsida; Fabales; Fabaceae
Description: Pisum sativum (pea) long non-coding RNA (PSAT_LNC031130)
Source: RNAcentral